RNAcentral lists this transfer RNA (89 nucleotides) under Desulfatibacillum alkenivorans AK-01. It matches the Rfam family "tRNA". From Rfam's summary of the family: Transfer RNA (tRNA) molecules are approximately 80 nucleotides in length. Their secondary structure includes four short double-helical elements and three loops (D, anti-codon, and T loops). The record is from Rfam by way of RNAcentral. Lineage: Bacteria; Pseudomonadati; Thermodesulfobacteriota; Desulfobacteria; Desulfobacterales; Desulfatibacillaceae.
GGAGAGGUGACCGAGCUGGCCGAAGGUGCACGACUGGAAAUCGUGUGUACGGCACAACCGUACCGUGGGUUCGAAUCCCACCCUCUCCG